Molecule: ribosomal RNA, 440 nt
Filed under: uncultured bacterium
Lineage: Bacteria
Description: partial 16S ribosomal RNA
Rfam family: Bacterial small subunit ribosomal RNA
Source: RNAcentral
CCUACGGGAGGCAGCAGUAGGGAAUAUUGCUCAAUGGGGGAAACCCUGAAGCAGCAACGCCGCGUGGAGGAUGAAGGUUUUCGGAUUGUAAACUCCUUUUGUUAGAGAAGAUAAUGACGGUAUCUAACGAAUAAGCACCGGCUAACUCCGUGCCAGCCGCCGCGGUAAUACGGAGGGUGCAAGCGUUACGCGGAAUCACUGGGCGUAAAGAGCGCGUAGGCGGGUUAGCAAGUCAGAUGUGAAAUACUAUGGCUUAACCAUAGAACUGCAUGUGAAACUGUUAUUCUAGAGUAUGGUAGAGGUAGGUAGAAUUCGUGGUGUAGGGGUAAAAUGCGUAGAGAGCAAGAGGAAUACUGAUAGCGAAGGCGACCUGCUAGAACGUAACUGACGCUGAGGCGCGAAAGCGUGGGGAGCAAACAGGAUUAGAUACCCUAGUAGUC